This 809-nucleotide unclassified non-coding RNA is filed under the name Leishmania donovani. RNAcentral describes it as "gene:LdHU3.24.2960(CDS-product:hypothetical_prote in_conserved)". Lineage: Eukaryota; Euglenozoa; Kinetoplastea; Trypanosomatida; Trypanosomatidae. The record is from RNAcentral.
CGUGAUUGCUUCUUACGCUUGGUUUGUGUGGUGAACUUCUCACUUGCGUUGUAUACAGAUUAGGUUUGCGUGGUACGGUUCUGCUGUUGCGGACUCUGAAGGUGUUGGGUGCUUCGGAGGUGCAUUUUUUUUUUCGGCGCAUUCUAUUUGUGCCAUCAUACCGGUGAAAAGAGUGAGGUUCUCUCCGUCAGCUAAUGCAAGGCCGCUGACUGUGUAUGGAUUGGUGUAGAGUGCCGUGAACCAUGCCUCCUAAGGCGAAGAAGGCUGCAACAGCCGCUUCUAAAGAGCUCUACUACGAAGACCAGCAGCUUGCAGAUGAUGUAGUCAUUUUGGAAGAAAAGCUCAAGGGUCUCAAGCGAGUGUACUUGGAUAGAAUGAUGGCGCUAGCUGAGCGAAAAAAGCAGCAGCUUAUUUUAAGUGCCAAGCUGGAUGCACUGAAGGCGGGCUUGGAAGCCAAAAAGAGUGAAAAAAUCGAUGUCUUAACUGACGGCACCCGAGUCUACAAGGUGAGAGAGCGCAUGGCUCUGCAAGAGAUUGCGACGCAGGACGCUGCCUUGCACGAGCUUCAAGAGACCAAAAAGAAACUGCAGGACCAGCUAGAGACCUGCACUGCCGAUUUUGAUAGCCGAAUCAAGAGCAAGAAGAGAGAGUUGGAAUCUCUCCGCGAGCGAACGGCGGACAUGGAAAAGGAGUUUGCAGUGCUGCUGUCUGAUGUGGAGCAAUGUUCUCCGUAGCUUGUGAGCCUUUGCGUCUCGCGCGUGUGAUGUAGAUUAGGCAACCAAUCCACAAAAGAAGAAGGCGAGGUUCAU